This 492-nucleotide ribosomal RNA is filed under the name uncultured bacterium. Its description in RNAcentral is "partial 16S ribosomal RNA". It matches the Rfam family "Bacterial small subunit ribosomal RNA", at positions 29 to 507 of the family's 1533-position model. The record is from RNAcentral.
AGUGAACGCUGGCGGUAGGCCUAACACAUGCAAGUCGAACGGCAGCACAGUAAGAGCUUGCUCUUACGGGUGGCGAGUGGCGGACGGGUGAGGAAUACAUCGGAAUCUACUUUUUCGUGGGGGAUAACGUAGGGAAACUUACGCUAAUACCGCAUACGACCUACGGGUGAAAGCAGGGGAUCUUCGGACCUUGCGCGAUUGAAUGAGCCUAUGUCGGAUUAGCUAGUUGGCGGGGUAAAGGCCCACCAAGGCGACGAUCCGUAGCUGGUCUGAGAGGAUGAUCAGCCACACUGGAACUGAGACACGGUCCAGACUCCUACGGGAGGCAGCAGUGGGGAAUAUUGGACAAUGGGCGCAAGCCUGAUCCAGCCAUACCGCGUGGGUGAAGAAGGCCUUCGGGUUGUAAAGCCCUUUUGUUGGGAAAGAAAAGCAGCAGGUUAAUCCCCCGCUGUUCUGACGGUACCCAAAGAAUAAGCACCGGCCAACUUCGUG